RNAcentral lists this ribosomal RNA (359 nucleotides) under uncultured Macrochaete sp. Its description in RNAcentral is "bacterial SSU rRNA". It matches the Rfam family "Bacterial small subunit ribosomal RNA", at positions 524 to 881 of the family's 1533-position model. Lineage: Bacteria; Bacillati; Cyanobacteriota; Cyanophyceae; Nostocales; Calotrichaceae. The record is from RNAcentral.
UACGGAGGAUGCAAGCGUUAUCCGGAAUGAUUGGGCGUAAAGCGUCCGCAGGUGGUUUUGUAUGUCUGCUGUUAAAGCGUGCGGCUUAACCGCAUAAAGGCGGUGGAAACUACAAGACUAGAGUACGUUCGGGGCAGAGGGAAUUCCCAGUGUAGCGGUGAAAUGCGUAGAGAUUGGGAAGAACAUCGGUGGCGAAAGCGCUCUGCUAGGCCUGUACUGACACUGAGGGACGAAAGCUAGGGGAGCGAAUGGGAUUAGAUACCCCAGUAGUCCUAGCCGUAAACGAUGGAUACUAGGCGUUGUCUGUAUCGACCCGGACAGUGCCGUAGCUAACGCGUUAAGUAUCCCGCCUGGGGAGU